Long non-coding RNA from Numida meleagris (helmeted guineafowl), 1982 nucleotides. RefSeq lists it as uncharacterized. The record is from RefSeq and is a predicted model, not a curated record. Lineage: Eukaryota; Metazoa; Chordata; Aves; Galliformes; Numididae. The transcript has 2 exons.
GGUUGACAGUGGAAGCAAAGAGACCUUACUGGAGAUCUCUGCAUCCCUGAGGUCUUUUGAAGUCUUCACUCUCUUACGAAGGCCCCUAUGCCUGUGCAGAGAAUGGUGCUUCUAUCUUUGCGCAGAUUUCUCUCCUUCGUUCUCUGACUCCCAAAGCAGACGAACAGGACCGGAUCCGGAGGCGGUGUUAAACGGUUGCCACCGUCGGUGUCGAUGGAAACCAGGCUCUGGGCUGCUUUAGCGUCGCAGCUCUCAGCCCUGCAAGGAGCCAGGUCUGCGAGCACCAUCUAGUGGCUCUGCUCACACAGCUAUCGCUAUGCAACACAAGCGCCCUGCUGGAAGGAGUUGGGUUACAAAAACUGGGGCAGGACAUCAGCAGUUACCCGUAACUGCAAGUGAAGAUAGGAAAAUGGGAACAGCAAGCUUCCCUACGUUAAUAUAAUCUCUAUAUAUUAAUCUUAAAUUGCUUUUCCACCACUUUGCAUUACAUACUGCUGCUAAGAAGAAGUAUGGACUCUGUAAGAUGGCAUAUCUCUGGUGAAAGGCUGAAAUCUCAUUGCUGGCAGCCACCCGGUGUCUGGACUCGCCAUAGUGUACAGAUCAUUAUUUCUGUCUCAUAUACAGUAUUAUUGCUGGGUGUUGUUUAGAAUCAUGGAAUCAUCAAGGUUAGGAAAGACCUGUGAGAUCAUGUAGUCCAGCUAUCAGUCAAUGACUUUCCUCACUGAUGUGGCAAUAGCUGCUGGGGCAGCUGUAGGGAGUGCCAACAGCUGGAAAUCACCAUUCUGCACGUACCAUUACAGAGAAGAGGGCAAUUAAAGGCCCUGACUCCAUGGGCUGUACUGAGUCAGUACUUCCCUUAGUCUGGAUGACAGCAUUGUCUCUGAAACGCAGGGAGGCAUUUCCUAGGACUUUGAUGGUUCUAAAAUGGCAAGAGGUGCGUUACUCAGGGAUAAGGUCACAUUUAAGGUCUAUUUUUUUUCCUUUGGAGACAAUGAGAACUUUGCAAGGUCAGUCAUCCCAUGUCUGGGAGCUCACCUGUGCUGUGUGAACAGCACCGGCUCUCUCACCGUGGGGGUCCCUCUGAAACAUGUCAGAGGGUGUAAAGUGUUCAGGAAGAAUUGAGAGAGGCAUUCAGUGUGCCAAGACCCCCACUGCUUGGCUUCCAUUUAUGGUUUCUGGUACCAGCACAAAAAAAAAAAGCUAGUGCUGGAGAAAUGGCUCCUUGCACAGUGUGGCUCUGAAGCUUCCUCUGUGCUUAGCGUAGACAGCAGAUGCUCUGUGUUUGGCCAAAGCUCAGUCAGAUUAGCACAAUGCAUUUCACUGUGCCAUGAGCUCAGGCAGCUGGGAUGGGAGGUGCCUGCUGCAAGUACCCGGGCAGGGCUGUGCCCUCUGGAGAGCAAGGCCUGGCAGUGACACCAGGAGUCAUCCCUGUAAUCAAAGGCCUCAGACUCAGAAGCAGAUGUUAUGUGGGGUUUUUACAUGUGCAGGCUCAUCAACUGCCUUGGAAAAUGGACUGUGUUUACGUCCAAAUCUUGUGCAAGAUCAUCUCAUACCUCUUCUCCUUGGUUUCCUUCCUGUGAAACAGACUGGAGUUCAAGCAUCCACAAGGAUAGCAUGCAGAUAAAUAAUUGAAAGCAUCUUAAAUAACUUGCCUAUGAAGAUCUCUCCCAGUAAUGCAUGUUCCUGCCCAAUUUUGACAAAUGUAUCAGGGCAAGACAGCAAGGCUCUGGACUGAGCUACAUUUUCUCCCCUGAGGAUCUCAGUCUCUCUUGAUCUCCUCUCACCAAAUAACCUGUGUUCAAGUGUGGCUGCUCUCCUGACUGAGCUCCUCUCUGCACCUGUCCCAGCUUGGUUUUCAGGGCAGCCCCCAGCUGUGAACAUGCCAUGCUCAUGGACUCAGAUGUAGGUUCUGCUGUGAGUCUCUUGAACUUGGUAAUGUAUAAUGUGACAAUGACCACUUCUACUAAAGCACUUCUUUUACA